GGUAAAAUGACCGAGAUUAGGUAGUAAAUUGUAAAUUUACGUACGAAAUUAUAAUUAUUUCUUUUACCA
Molecule: non-coding RNA, 69 nt
Organism: Anoplophora glabripennis (Asian longhorned beetle)
Lineage: Eukaryota; Metazoa; Arthropoda; Insecta; Coleoptera; Cerambycidae
Source: the annotation of a RefSeq genome assembly